CCUACGGGCGGCAGCAGUGGGGAAUAUUGGACAAUGGGGGGAACCCUGAUCCAGCCAUGCCGCGUGUGUGAAGAAGGCCCUCGGGUUGUAAAGCACUUUCAGUGAGGAAGAACGCCUGGUGGUUAAUACCCAUCAGGAAAGACAUCACUCACAGAAGAAGCACCGGCUAACUCCGUGCCAGCAGCCGCGGUAAUACGGAGGGUGCGAGCGUUAAUCGGAAUUACUGGGCGUAAAGCGCGCGUAGGUGGCUUGAUAAGCCGGUUGUGAAAGCCCCGGGCUCAACCUGGGAACGGCAUCCGGAACUGUCAAGCUAGAGUGCAGGAGAGGAAGGUAGAAUUCCCGGUGUAGCGGUGAAAUGCGUAGAGAUCGGGAGGAAUACCAGUGGCGAAGGCGGCCUUCUGGACUGACACUGACACUGAGGUGCGAAAGCGUGGGUAGCAAACAGGAUUAGAUACCCGAAUAGUC
This 465-nucleotide ribosomal RNA is filed under the name Vreelandella stevensii. RNAcentral's name for it is "partial 16S ribosomal RNA". It matches the Rfam family "Bacterial small subunit ribosomal RNA", at positions 338 to 795 of the family's 1533-position model. The record is from RNAcentral. Lineage: Bacteria; Pseudomonadati; Pseudomonadota; Gammaproteobacteria; Oceanospirillales; Halomonadaceae.